RNAcentral lists this unclassified non-coding RNA (422 nucleotides) under Hevea brasiliensis (rubber tree). The record is from RNAcentral. Lineage: Eukaryota; Viridiplantae; Streptophyta; Magnoliopsida; Malpighiales; Euphorbiaceae.
AGCUAUAUCUUCUUCAAAAUGCAAGUCCUCAAUGAGCUCUAAGUAGACUUCACAUUUUGCAGGGUUUUCUAGUUGUAAACCAAUAAAAAUGAAAGAAAUACUUAGUGGACGAGCUUAGAACAACUGAGCAAGAAAUCAUUUUGGAUGACUAAAACAGUAAUAAAUUACACCAGCAGAAAUGUGGAGUUUGCAGAAUCUUUCUGUUUCAAGCCUAGAAGCUAUUUAUAAUUUCCUCUCUUUUAUUGCUUGCUGUUGCAAGUACAGAAAGAAUACCUUCUCUGAAUAUUUGUGCAAAGGUUUGACCAUUGGAGGUCUAUGUUUUAAGGUGCAUGAUAAUUUCUUGACCUUCCUUUAGCUCAUCUUUGUCAUGAGAGUAUGAAUUGUCCUGCAAACAGUGGCAGAUGUAUUUGAGAAAAUGGGGG